AGGGGAAUGGCUUGUUGGUAGAGCACAUGCUUAGCAUGCAUGAAGUCCUGGGUUUAGUCCCUAAUACCUCCA
Molecule: transfer RNA, 72 nt
Filed under: Camelus bactrianus (Bactrian camel)
Lineage: Eukaryota; Metazoa; Chordata; Mammalia; Artiodactyla; Camelidae
Also listed under: 1 other name
Rfam family: tRNA
About the family: Transfer RNA (tRNA) molecules are approximately 80 nucleotides in length. Their secondary structure includes four short double-helical elements and three loops (D, anti-codon, and T loops).
Source: Rfam by way of RNAcentral